This 427-nucleotide ribosomal RNA is filed under the name uncultured bacterium. RNAcentral describes it as "partial 16S ribosomal RNA". It matches the Rfam family "Bacterial small subunit ribosomal RNA", at positions 355 to 774 of the family's 1533-position model. The record is from RNAcentral.
UGGGGAAUAUUGGACAAUGGGCGAAAGCCUGAUCCAGCCAUGCCGCGUGUGUGAAGAAGGUCUUCGGAUUGUAAAGCACUUUAAGUUGGGAGGAAGGGCAUUAACCUAAUACGUUAGUGUUUUGACGUUACCGACAGAAUAAGCACCGGCUAACUCUGUGCCAGCAGCCGCGGUAAUACAGAGGGUGCAAGCGUUAAUCGGAAUUACUGGGCGUAAAGCGCGCGUAGGUGGUUUGUUAAGUUGGAUGUGAAAUCCCCGGGCUCAAACUGGGAACUGCAUUCAAAACUGACUGACUAGAGUAUGGUAGAGGGUGGUGGAAUUUCCUGUGUAGCGGUGAAAUGCGUAGAUAUAGGAAGGAACACCAGUGGCGAAGGCGACCACCUGGACUAAUACUGACACUGAGGUGCGAAAGCGUGGGGAGCAAACA